Molecule: long non-coding RNA, 1100 nt
Organism: Bos taurus (domestic cattle)
Lineage: Eukaryota; Metazoa; Chordata; Mammalia; Artiodactyla; Bovidae
Source: Ensembl
UAAGCAGGGUGACAAUAGGCUGCCUUGAUGGACUCCUUUCCUGAUUUGGAACCAGUCUGUUGUUCCAUGUCCAGUGGAAGUAGCUCUAUACAGUCAGCAAAAAGAAGACUGGGAGCUGACUGUGACUCAGAUCGUGAACUCCCUGUUGCAAAAUUCAGACUUAAAUUGAAGAUAGUAGGGAAAACCACUAGGUCAUUCAGAUAUGACCUACAUCAAAUCCCUUAUGAUUAUACAGUGGAAGUGACAAAUAAAUUCAAGGGAUUAGAUCUGAUAGAGUACCUGAAGAACUAUGGAUACAGGUUCGUAACAUUGUACAGGAGUCAGUGAUCAAAACCAUCCCAAAGAAAAAGAAAUGCAAAAAGGCAAAAUGGUUGUCUGAGGAGGACUUACAAAUAGCUGAGAAAAGAAGUGAAAGGCAAAGGAGAAAAGGAAAGAUAUACCCAUUCUAAUGUAGAGUUGCAAAGAAUAACAAGGAGAGAUAAGAAAGCCUUGUUAAGUGAACAGUGCAAAGAAAUAGAAGAAAACAAUAGAAUGGAAAAGACUAGAGAUCUCUUCAAGAAAAUUAGAAAAUAUAUAUAUUAGAAAAUUAGAGAUAUGAAGGGCAAAGAUGGGUAAAUAAAGGCCAGAAACGGUAUGGACCUAAUGGAAGCAGAAGAUAUUAGAGUUGGCAAGAACACACAGAAAAGGUCUUAAUGACCCGGAUGACCAUGAUGGUAUGAUCACUCAUCGAGAGCCAGACAUCCUGGAAUGCGAAGUCAAGUGGGCCUUAGGAAGUUUCACUAUGAACAAAGCUAGUGAAUGCGAUGGAAUUUCAGCUGAGCUAUUUCAAAUCUUAAAAGAUGAUGAUAUUAAAGUGCUGCACUCAAUAUGCCAAUAAAAUUUGGAAAACACAGCAGUGGCCACAGAACUGGAAAAUGUCAGUUUUCAUUCUAAUCACAAAGAAAUGCAAUGCCAAAGAAUGUUCAAACUGCUGCACAAUUGCACUCAUUUCACACACUAGCAAGGUGAUACUCAAAAUUCUUCAAGCUAGGUUUCAACAGUAUGUGAACUGAGAACUUCCAGAUGUACAAGCUGGGUCUGGAAAAGACAGAAGAACCAGA